This 446-nucleotide ribosomal RNA is filed under the name uncultured bacterium. Its description in RNAcentral is "bacterial SSU rRNA". It matches the Rfam family "Bacterial small subunit ribosomal RNA", at positions 338 to 793 of the family's 1533-position model. The record is from RNAcentral.
CCUACGGGUGGCAGCAGUAGGGAAUAUUGCGCAAUGGCCGGAAGUCUGACGCAGUGACGCCGCGUGAGCGAUGAAGGUCUUCGGAUCGUAAAGCUCUGUCCUUGGGGAAGAAGGCGAAAGCUUGACGGUACCCGAGAAGAAAGCCCCGGCUAACUACGUGCCAGCAGCCGCGGUAACACGUAGGUGGCAAGCGUUGUCCGGAAUUACUGGGUGUAAAGGGCGUGUAGGCGGGGAUGCAAGUCAGAUGUGAAAUUCCGGGGCUCAACCCCGGCGCUGCAUCUAAAACUGUGUCUCUUGAGUGCUGGAGAGGAAAGUGGAAUUCCUAGUGUAGCGGUGAAAUGCGUAGAGAUUAGGAGGAACACCAGUGGCGAAGGCGACUUUCUGGACAGUAACUGACGCUGAGGCGCGAGAGCGUGGGGAGCAAACAGGAUUAGAUACCCUUGUAG